UGGGGAAUCUUCCGCAAUGGACGAAAGUCUGACGGAGCGACGCCGCGUGAGUGACGAAGGCCCUUGGGUCGUAAAGCUCUGUCAUUGGGGACGAACGGUCACAUCAGGAAAUGGGUGUGAAGUGACGGUACCCGAGAAGGAAGCCACGGCUAACUACGUGCCAGCAGCCGCGGUAAUACGUAGGUGGCGAGCGUUGUCCGGAAUUAUUGGGCGUAAAGCGCGCGCAGGUGGGAUCUUAAGUCUGUUCUCAAAGUUCGGAGCUUAACUCCGUGAUGGGAUGGAAACUGGGAUUCUUGAGUACCGGAGAGGAAAGCGGAAUUCCCCGUGUAGCGGUGAAAUGCGUAGAUAUGGGGAGGAACACCAGUGGCGAAGGCGGCUUUCUGGACGGUGUCUGACACUGAGGCGCGAAAGCCAGGGGAGCGAACGGG
This 428-nucleotide ribosomal RNA is filed under the name uncultured bacterium. Its description in RNAcentral is "bacterial SSU rRNA". It matches the Rfam family "Bacterial small subunit ribosomal RNA", at positions 355 to 776 of the family's 1533-position model. The record is from RNAcentral.